RNAcentral lists this ribosomal RNA (500 nucleotides) under uncultured Glomeromycotina. RNAcentral describes it as "partial small subunit ribosomal RNA". It matches the Rfam family "Eukaryotic small subunit ribosomal RNA", at positions 591 to 1092 of the family's 1831-position model. The record is from RNAcentral. Lineage: Eukaryota; Fungi; Glomeromycota.
CCAAUAGCGUAUAUUAAAGUUGUUGCAGUUAAAAAGCACGUAGUUGAAUUUUGGGUCUGGCCGGGCGGCCCGCCAUCCGGGUGAGCACUGUUCCGACGCCGGGGCUAUCCUUCUGGUGAGUCGGCAUGUCCUUUGCUGGGUGUGUCGGGGAACCAGGACCAUUACCUUGAAAAAAUUAGAGUGUUCAAAGCAGGCGUAUGCUCGGAUACAUUAGCAUGGAAUAAUGAAAUAGGACGCGUGGUGCUAUUUUGCUGGUUUCUGGAACCGCCGUAAUGAUUAAUAGGGAUAGUUGGGGGCAUUAGUAUUCAAUUGUCAGAGGUGAAAUUCUUGGAUUUAUUGAAGACUAACUUCUGCGAAAGCAUUUGCCAAGGAUGUUUUCAUUAAUCAAGAACGAAAGUUAGGGGAUCGAAGACGAUCAGAUACCGUCGUAGUCUUAACCAUAAACUAUGCCGACUAGGAAUCGGGCGAUGUUAUUCUCAUGACUCGCCCGGCGCCUUAUG